AUCGCUUCUCGGCCUUUUGGCUAAGAUCAAGUGUAGUAUCACCCUCUCUUGCCUGGAGAUUUCCAAGUUCCUAGUCUCUCUGUUAGGCUCCAAAAGUUAGCCCUGUCUCCCUCUCUUCUAGCAGUUCCCAAUUGAGGAAACUCUCA
RNAcentral lists this small nuclear RNA (146 nucleotides) under Marmota monax (woodchuck). Its description in RNAcentral is "U2 spliceosomal RNA". It matches the Rfam family "U2 spliceosomal RNA". From Rfam's summary of the family: U2 is a small nuclear RNA (snRNA) component of the spliceosome (involved in pre-mRNA splicing). Complementary binding between U2 snRNA (in an area lying towards the 5' end but 3' to hairpin I) and the branchpoint sequence (BPS) of the intron results the bulging out of an unpaired adenosine, on the BPS, which initiates a nucleophilic attack at the intronic 5' splice site, thus starting the first of two transesterification reactions that mediate splicing. The record is from Rfam by way of RNAcentral. Lineage: Eukaryota; Metazoa; Chordata; Mammalia; Rodentia; Sciuridae.